Molecule: RNA transcript, 2240 nt
Organism: Cajanus cajan (pigeon pea)
Lineage: Eukaryota; Viridiplantae; Streptophyta; Magnoliopsida; Fabales; Fabaceae
Source: RefSeq, a predicted model, not a curated record
GAAACAGAACGUGGUAACAACGCAACUCUUGAAACCGAAAAGCCUCCAAUCCCAAAUGAACGCAAACCCUAAUUCCUCCUCUUUAUAUAACAAACUCCAAAUUUGUAGUAGUUGACUGAACACACACACACAUUAUUCUCACAUGGAUGCACCACGUGUCACUCGGAGCUCUGGCGACCACAAUAUCCGUUGCGUCGGAUUGCUCGCUUCUGAUUCUUCUGCCACCACGAUUCCUCCGUCACGUCAUUCCGGCGACCGCCACAUGAUAUCCGGGGACUUCGAUUCCUCGAAAAAUCCAAACCUCGUCACUGCCAUUGAAAAAAAGGAAGAGUCUCUGCAAUCAAGUUCAAAGCCUUUGAAGGCUAAAACUACCAAAGCUGAGAGACGAGCCUUGCAGGAGGCACAGAGAGCUGCCAAAGCGGCUUUUAAAGGUGAGGGAAGUAAAGCAGUGGGUGAAUCUGAUAGAGCUGCCCAGGGUAAAAGUACAAAGCAGUCAUCGGAAAAGAAAGGUGGUCCUCCCUGUGCGUCUCCUGGGGAUACUGAUAUGAAAGCAGGAGAUCGUUCUUUGGAGAAAGAUAGGAAAAAGGAUGCUCCUCCUCCCCAAAUUCAAUUUGGCAGCAAAAGCCAAAUGGAAAGGGCUAGAAAGCGUGGAGUGGUCAAUCCAACUGAAUCUGGAAACGGAGUUGAAUUAUUUCAGCAUUUGCCUCAAUAUGAACACAGGACUCAGCUUUCUAAUCUCGAAUCAAAGUUUUUCCACAAUGAUUUAGUACAUCCUGCUGUAUUAGAGGUUGGACUGCGUUAUUCAACAGGAGAUAUAUCAGGGGGUAAUGCUCGUUGUAUUGCAAUGCUAAGGGCAUUUCAAGAUGCCAUUAGAGAUUACUGCACACCACAUGAAAAGGUCCUUGUUAGGGAUUUAACUUCAAAAAUCAAUAGUUAUGUAUCUUUCUUUACGGAAUGUAGACCACUUUCUAUGAGCAUGGGAAAUGCAAUUAGGUUUGUAAAGAGUCGUAUUGUCAAUCUUCCUUUAAGUCAUUCCGAGUUUGAGGCAAAAGCAGCCCUGUGUUCUGAUAUUGACCGGUUCAUAAAUGAAAAGAUAGUUCUCGCUGAUAAGGUGAUUGUCCAACAUGCUUUUACAAAGGUGAAGGAUGGGGAUGUGCUUCUCACAUAUGGAUUGUCAUGUGUUGUUGAGAUGACUUUUUUAUAUGCCCAUGAGCUGGGAAAACAGUUCCGUGUUGUGGUGGUAGAUUCACGGCCAAGGCUUGAAGGUCAGGCCUUACUUCGUGGGCUAGUGGCUAAGGGCCUGAGUUGCACAUAUAUUCAUAUAAAUGCUGUUUCUUAUAUCAUGCAUGAGGUCACUCGAGUUCUUCUGGGAGCUUCUGCAGUUUUUUCUGAUGGAACUGUCUAUUCAAGGGUUGGGACUUCUUGUGUUGCAAUGGUGGCUCAUGCAUUUCGUGUUCCUGUAUUAAUCUGUUGUGAAGCAUAUAAAUUUCAUGAGAGGGUGCUACUCGAUUCAAUAUGUUCUAACGAACUAGGCGAUCCAGAUGCUAUUGCCAGGGUUGCUGGACGAAUGGAUGUCGAUUAUCUGAAAAAUUGGGCCAGUGAAGACAAUUUGAAGCUUUUGAAUUUGAUGUAAGCUUAAUAUAUUUCAUUUGUGUGAACAUCUUAUCCCCCAAGAAAUGAAGAAAUGGUUAUCACUGAGUUUAUUUUCACUGACAGGUCCCUCCUACAAGCGUGCCUGUAAUAGUACGGGAAUAUCUACGAGAGCAUUUGUUAUUCUAGAUAUGCAGAAGCCAGAAAGUGGUCUUAACAGUCUUCAUGGAUUUAGAUUAAUGGAAUUUUUUAUAUACUUGAAUUUUAAUUAGUGAAUGUUUUUAGGCUUUCUACUCCCAGCAAUUUUGGAGAUGCAUUUAAUUUCAAUUUAUAAUUAUUUAUUUAUUCUCUUUUGGUCCAGAAAGUUGUCAGCAUUGUAAUAACUUUUGGUGUCAGAAUAACAGGAUACUAGGCCAUUGUGCAUACAGCAUAGAUAAUGGGUUUUAGUCACAUUUGUACAAGCCACCGAUUUGAUCGGCUAUAUUUUUAUUAGCACUUAGCACUUAGCAGUAUGCCGGAGCUCUGCCUGAAAUUUACAGGGUGCCCGGAACCUGAAGUAUGAAGACGGACUUGCAAGUCAUGUAUACGUCGAUACAUCAUAAUAUGAUAAUUGUCUAUUAUGAUAAUAAUCAAAAGAAAUUUAUAUUUAA